This is a long non-coding RNA of Zea mays, 4095 nucleotides long. RefSeq lists it as uncharacterized. NCBI's taxonomy places the organism in Eukaryota, Viridiplantae, Streptophyta, Magnoliopsida, Poales, Poaceae. The transcript has 5 exons. The record is from RefSeq and is a predicted model, not a curated record.
ACGGUAGCGGAGGAGGUGAUGGCAUGAGGUUGACUGGGGCUUUGGACCCGUCCCCCAUUCCACCCGUCGUCGCCGACAUACUUGUCCAAGGUCAGUCCGCUAACGAGUAUAUAUAAAAGUCAUCAGGAAAGGUUUUGGUCUAAUUUUGGUAAUCUGCACAACUAUUUUGGUAUCUAGGAUAUAUUUCCUUAAGCAGGUUUGGGUCUGAUUUGUAAAAAUGUGGCAAUAGUAAGGAGUUCAGGACUAUCAUAGUUACUUUUCAUUUGCAAUUCACCAUUUUGCUCAUCAUGGCACUGCUAAACUGCGCAGCUGUUAUGUCUGCCAAUCAAAGAUUCAUGCAUUUAGUGGAAUGACACUAAUACUGUUUCUGUCAUUUCCUGACAGUGAUACACUGGUGCACAGGACCUAUUAUUUAGUUCUGGGAUAUGAAUAAUCCACUAGCCGUUUACCUUUCUUUUUCUUUUUCAUCUCUUAAGUCUUAUUUCCUUACCUGUAGGCUUAACCGCUCUGCAGUUAAUCUGAUGAAAUUUGUUAACAAAUUACUGCUAUACCAAGGUCCUCUGCAGUUAGUCUUGGCAUGGCAAUGGCCUCGUAGCUCGUGGCUCUCUAAUAGGAAUAAUUUUACUCAAAAUGAAGCUAUACCGUCAUGCUAUCUUAGGUUGUUUGGACAGUUCCUUAGGAUACUGAAACUGUCUUAGAUAAUGGAGAUGAUGUUCACUCAAACAUUUCUCCCGAUAGAUAUACAAUUGUAAUUACACCAUAACUGUACUUACAAUUAAGAACAACAUCAGCUGUAACAUUAGUAGUAAGAAACAGUUCAGAUAGUGUGAAGAAGUUCAUCUGUCGGCCUGCUAUUUCAGGUACUUUCACAUCUAGGAAAAAACAAUGAUUUCUAAUGUUAUCUUGAUGGAGUUCUUAUUUGCCUCAAUAAUUGUGUAGAUACUGUGUGUGUUCCUGAAACUUCAUGGAGACUUCCAUAUCUCCACCAGGCACAUCAAAUCAGUCAGCUGUCCGCAAACCUUCUCCUUGAAGCUCUCUUAAGGAUCCGUGCCUUGUUUCCAAACAAGGGUCAAUAGCUGAAGUACAAUCUGCUUUGGCCUUGUUGGAAAAAGUGGUGGGAACAUUGAUGGUAGAAAUGCAUUUGGUCUUAGUGCCCUCCACCUUGCAACAUGGAGAAAUCAUCUACCCAUUGUGAGGCGACUCUUAGAUGCUGGCGCUGAUCCAGAUGCAAGGGAUGGAGAAUCUGGCUGGAGUAGCCUGCAUAGAGCACUUCAUUUUGGUCACCUAUGUAUUGCUGGUGUUCUUUUACAGUUUGGUGCUUCCCUCGCUUUGGAGGACACUAAGGGUCGUACACCUGUUUGGCCGAAGCCUUAUAGGAAACCAGACCACCUGUGCAGCUAGAAAUUCCUGGAGAUGGCAUCAAAGGAUAUUAGCAGAGCGCAGAUGGCGAGAGAAUAGUUCGCUUAUAAUGUGUAAGCUGUAUACCCCAACUACAACCGAACUCUUUAGCAGAUUAUAGCAAUUGCUGUUGAUAUAGCGUUUCUGCUAGGAGGAGCUUUGGGUGUCAUUGGUGUUCACUCAGUCACCCUGCUGUUCCUAUCACUUAUCGACGCGUAAACCAGUUGUUUGCUUGGCCGUCUCUUAAGAAAAUUUAACAUUCUUAUGUCCACUCUUAUGCAGUUUUUCAACAAGCCAGGCUUCAUCGAGCUAAUUUUUCUUAUGCUUUUACAGGUUCUUUUUUGCUAACUUAAGGCAAAGGUUUGUAUUUACAUGUAGAAUAUACUAGCUAAAGUUUUUUCAGCAAAGGGUUUUUAUAUACUAGCAUCUACAUAAUGCAAGAUAUUUAUGACAAAUUUUAUCUCGAAUGCAUGGAGUAAGAUUAAUAACACCGUUUGCAUCGGGUGUCGUCCUUUCCUAGAAUGCAGCCACCAUGUAACAUUGUUUGCAACGACUAUAUCGGGGGCGUGUUAGCCUCCCAUUAGAGUCCCGCCAGCGCCGAACUCUUCGCAUCGACAGUGGCCACAUUAGAGAAGAAGCCAUACCCACCUGCCACGGUAGCGGAGGAGGUGAUGGCAUGAGGUUGACUGGGGCUUUGGACCCGUCCCCCAUUCCACCCGUCGUCGCCGACAUACUUGUCCAAGGUCAGUCCGCUAACGAGUAUAUAUAAAAGUCAUCAGGAAAGGUUUUGGUCUAAUUUUGGUAAUCUGCACAACUAUUUUGGUAUCUAGGAUAUAUUUCCUUAAGCAGGUUUGGGUCUGAUUUGUAAAAAUGUGGCAAUAGUAAGGAGUUCAGGACUAUCAUAGUUACUUUUCAUUUGCAAUUCACCAUUUUGCUCAUCAUGGCACUGCUAAACUGCGCAGCUGUUAUGUCUGCCAAUCAAAGAUUCAUGCAUUUAGUGGAAUGACACUAAUACUGUUUCUGUCAUUUCCUGACAGUGAUACACUGGUGCACAGGACCUAUUAUUUAGUUCUGGGAUAUGAAUAAUCCACUAGCCGUUUACCUUUCUUUUUCUUUUUCAUCUCUUAAGUCUUAUUUCCUUACCUGUAGGCUUAACCGCUCUGCAGUUAAUCUGAUGAAAUUUGUUAACAAAUUACUGCUAUACCAAGGUCCUCUGCAGUUAGUCUUGGCAUGGCAAUGGCCUCGUAGCUCGUGGCUCUCUAAUAGGAAUAAUUUUACUCAAAAUGAAGCUAUAGCGUCAUGCUAUCUUAGGUUGUUUGGACAGUUCCUUAGGAUACUGAAACUGUCUUAGAUAAUGGAGAUGAUGUUCACUCAAACCUUUCUCCCGAUAGAUAUACAAUUGUAAUUACACCAGAACUGUACUUACAAUUAAGAACAACAUCAGCUGUAACAUUAGUAGUAAGAAACAGUUCAGAUAGCGUGAAGAAGUUCAUCUGUCGGCCUGCUAUUUCAGAUACUGUGUGUGUUCCUGAAACUUCAUGGAGACUUCCAUAUCUCCACCAGGCACAUCAAAGCAGUCAGCUGUCCGCAAACCUUCUCCUUGAAGCUCUCUUAAGGAUCCGUGCCUUGUUUCCAAACAAGGGUCAAUAGCUGAAGUACAAUCUGCUUUGGCCUUGUUGGAAAAAGUGGUGGGAACAUUGAUGGUAGAAAUGCAUUUGGUCUUAGUGCCCUCCACCUUGCAACAUGGAGAAAUCAUCUACCCAUUGUGAGGCGACUCUUAGAUGCUGGCGCUGAUCCAGAUGCAAGGGAUGGAGAAUCUGGCUGGAGUAGCCUGCAUAGAGCACUUCAUUUUGGUCACCUAUGUAUUGCUGGUGUUCUUUUACAGUUUGGUGCUUCCCUCGCUUUGGAGGACACUAAGGGUCGUACACCUGUUUGGCCGAAGCCUUAUAGGAAACCAGACCACCUGUGCAGCUAGAAAUUCCUGGAGAUGGCAUCAAAGGAUAUUAGCAGAGCGCAGAUGGCGAGAGAAUAGUUCGCUUAUAAUGUGUAAGCUGUAUACCCCAACUGCAACCGAACUCUUCAGCAGAUUAUAGCAAUUGCUGUUGAUAUAGCGUUUCUGCUAGGAGGAGCUUUGGGUGCCAAAUUUGCAGAAGAUUUGAAGCUGAGAAUAAUUAAACAUGUACUGCUUACUUUGUGUAUGGCCUAUAGUUGUAGUUAUUUUGCUUUAUGCUUGUCCACUAAAUCUGAUUUUUUGCUCUGCUCAGAAUAUCUUGGUUGUGUCUAAGUACUAUUCGAGGGUUACCAUAAAGAGGCUUGAUGAUCUGCUCUGCCUGAGUUUGCAGGAGGCAGAGAAGCAUCGUUCAGACAUGGUGAACUCAAAAUCUCUGACUGCGAAGAUCGACAGGCCGAUGGGAGUUGUGAGCUUCCGGGUAGUUCAGGACUGCAACGGCACACUUAACUCGUGGGCUACAAACCUCGAGCAGCUUGGUGUCUCGAUAGGGCGCCCAUAAGGAACGAUACAAUGUUGUUGUCUUGAUAGGGCGCCCGUAAGGGCGCCGCAAUGUUCUAGUGCACAUUUAUAGAUGGAGGCGACUUCCCUUCUCCACCCUCUACUAUCUCGGGCUGGAAUCGGUUUCAAUCCAAGAUUUCCAUUCUCUCCAUUCAAUCCUGUCACACCAGGGUUUCAGAGACCCGGGC